This 255-nucleotide ribosomal RNA is filed under the name uncultured bacterium. RNAcentral's name for it is "partial 16S ribosomal RNA". It matches the Rfam family "Bacterial small subunit ribosomal RNA", at positions 524 to 778 of the family's 1533-position model. The record is from RNAcentral.
UACGUAGGGGGCUAGCGUUGUCCGGAAUCAUUGGGCGUAAAGAGCGUGUAGGCGGCCAGGUAGGUCGGUUGUGAAAACUGGAGGCUCAACCUUCAGAGGUCGACCGAAACCAUCUGGCUAGAGUCCGGGAGAGGAGAGUGGAAUUCCUGGUGUAGCGGUGAAAUGCGCAGAUAUCAGGAAGAACACCCGUGGCGAAAGCGGCUCUCUGGAACGGUACUGACGCUGAGACGCGAAAGCGUGGGGAGCGAACAGGAU